RNAcentral lists this ribosomal RNA (464 nucleotides) under uncultured bacterium. RNAcentral's name for it is "partial 16S ribosomal RNA". It matches the Rfam family "Bacterial small subunit ribosomal RNA", at positions 338 to 795 of the family's 1533-position model. The record is from RNAcentral.
CCUACGGGUGGCAGCAGUAGGGAAUUUUCGGCAAUGGGGGGAACCCUGACCGAGCAACGCCGCGUGAAGGAAGAAGGAAUUCGUUCUGUAAACUUCUGUUAUAAAGGAAGAAAGACGGAUGGAGGAAAUGACAUCCGAGUGACGGUACUUUAUGAGAAAGUCACGGCUAACUACGUGCCCGCAGCCGCGGUAAUACGUAGGUGGAAAGCGUUAUCCGGAAUUAUGGGGCGUAAAGAGGGAGCAGGCGGCAGCAAAGUUCUGUGGUGAAAGACUGAAGCUUAACUUCAGUAAGCCAUAGAAACCGGGCAGCUAGGGUGCAGGAGAGGAUCGUGGAAUUCCAUGUGUAGCGGUGAAAUGCGUAGAUAUAUGGAGGAACACCAGUGGCGAAGGCGACGAUCUGGACUGCAACUGACGCUGAGUCCCGAAAGCGUGGGGAGCAAACAGGAUUAGAUACCCUGGUAGUC